AUGUACCACUCGCACACUCGGCUCAUGCACUCCGCCCGCACCCACCUGACGACUGCUCGCUACGUUUUUUGCC
RNAcentral lists this small RNA (73 nucleotides) under Xanthomonas populi. Its description in RNAcentral is "sX9 sRNA". It matches the Rfam family "Xanthomonas sRNA sX9". Lineage: Bacteria; Pseudomonadati; Pseudomonadota; Gammaproteobacteria; Lysobacterales; Lysobacteraceae. The record is from RNAcentral.